This 83-nucleotide transfer RNA is filed under the name Cordyceps militaris. Its description in RNAcentral is "tRNA-Arg". Lineage: Eukaryota; Fungi; Ascomycota; Sordariomycetes; Hypocreales; Cordycipitaceae. The record is from RNAcentral.
GCCUCCAUAGCAUAGUGGUUCUGUGCUAGGGAGUUCUGUGUAGGUCAGCACACGGAUCGCUAGUUCGAAUCUAGCUGGAGGCA